This 301-nucleotide ribosomal RNA is filed under the name uncultured bacterium. Its description in RNAcentral is "partial 16S ribosomal RNA". It matches the Rfam family "Bacterial small subunit ribosomal RNA", at positions 509 to 809 of the family's 1533-position model. The record is from RNAcentral.
CAGCCGCCACGGUAAUACGUAGGCGGCAAGCGUUGUCCGGAAUUAUUGGGCGUAAAGGGAGCGCAGGUGGGACGGUAAGUCCGUCUUAAAAGGCAGGGGCUCAGCCCCUGUAAGGGAUGGAAACUAUCGAUCUUGAGUGCCGGAGAGGAAAGCGGAAUUCCCAGUGUAGCGGUGAAAUGCGUAGAUAUUGGGAAGAACACCAGUGGCGAAGGCGGCUUUCUGGACGGCAACUGACACUGAGGCUCGAAAGCCAGGGGAGCGAACGGGAUUAGAUACCCGUGUAGUCCCUGUCUCUUAUACA